This 369-nucleotide ribosomal RNA is filed under the name uncultured bacterium. RNAcentral describes it as "bacterial SSU rRNA". It matches the Rfam family "Bacterial small subunit ribosomal RNA", at positions 527 to 895 of the family's 1533-position model. The record is from RNAcentral.
GAAGGGGGCUAGUGUUGUUCGGAAUUACUGGGCGUAAAGCGCAUGUAGGCGGGUCGUUAAGUCGGGGGUGAAAGCCCAGAGCUCAACUCUGGAACUGCCUUCGAUACUGGCGACCUGGACCCAAGGAGAGGCGAGUGGAAAUUGCGAGUGUAGAGGUGAAAUUCGUAGAUAUUCGCAGGAACACCCGUGGCGAAGGCGACUCGCUGGACUUGUGGUGACGCUGAGAUGCGAAAGCGUGGGGAGCAAACAGGAUUAGAUACCCUGGUAGUCCACGCCGUAAACGAUGGAUGCUAGUUGUCAGUAGGCAUGCCUAUUGGUGACGCAGCUAACGCCUUAAGCAUCCCGCCUGGGGAGUACGGCCGCAAGGUU